ACGGGGUCUAAUACCGGAUACUGACCCGCCUGGGCAUCCAGGCGGUUCGAAAGCUCCGGCGGUGCAGGAUGAGCCCGCGGCCUAUCAGCUUGUUGGUGAGGUAACGGCUCACCAAGGCGACGACGGGUAGCCGGCCUGAGAGGGCGACCGGCCACACUGGGACUGAGACACGGCCCAGACUCCUACGGGAGGCAGCAGUGGGGAAUAUUGCACAAUGGGCGAAAGCCUGAUGCAGCGACGCCGCGUGAGGGAUGACGGCCUUCGGGUUGUAAACCUCUUUCAGCAGGGAAGAAGCGCAAGUGACGGUACCUGCAGAAGAAGCGCCGGCUAACUACGUGCCAGCAGCCGCGGUAAUACGUAGGGCGCGAGCGUUGUCCGGAAUUAUUGGGCGUAAAGAGCUCGUAGGCGGCUUGUCGCGUCGGUUGUGAAAGCCCGGGGCUUAACCCCGGGUCUGCAGUCGAUACGGGCAGGCUAGAGUUCGGUAGGGGAGAUCGGAAUUCCUGGUGUAGCGGUGAAAUGCGCAGAUAUCAGGAGGAACACCGGUGGCGAAGGCGGAUCUCUGGGCCGAUACUGACGCUGAGGAGCGAAAGCGUGGGGAGCGAACAGGAUUAGAUACCCUGGUAGUCCACGCCGUAAACGGUGGGCACUAGGUGUGGGCGACAUUCCACGUCGUCCGUGCCGCAGCUAACGCAUUAAGUGCCCCGCCUGGGGAGUACGGCCGCAAGGCUAAAACUCAGAGGAAUUGACGGGGGCCCGCACAAGCGGCGGAGCAUGUGGCUUAAUUCGACGCAACGCGAAGAACCUUACCAAGGCUUGACAUACACCGGAGACGUCUGGAGA
Molecule: ribosomal RNA, 840 nt
Filed under: Streptomyces atrovirens
Lineage: Bacteria; Bacillati; Actinomycetota; Actinomycetes; Kitasatosporales; Streptomycetaceae
Description: bacterial SSU rRNA
Rfam family: Bacterial small subunit ribosomal RNA
Source: RNAcentral